AGUGAACGCUGGCGGUAGGCCUAACACAUGCAAGUCGAACGGCAGCACAGUAAGAGCUUGCUCUUACGGGUGGCGAGUGGCGGACGGGUGAGGAAUACAUCGGAAUCUACUUUUUCGUGGGGGAUAGCGGAGGGAAACUUACGCUAAUACCGCAUACGACCUACGGGUGAAAGCAGUGGAUCUUCGGACCUUGCGCGAUUGAAUGAGCCGAUGUCGGAUUAGCUAGUUGGCGGGGUAAAGGCCCACCAAGGCGACGAUCCGUAGCUGGUCUGAGAGGAUGAUCAGCCACACUGGAACUGAGACACGGUCCAGACUCCUACGGGAGGCAGCAGUGGGGAAUAUUGGACAAUGGGCGCAAGCCUGAUCCAGCCAUACCGCGUGGGUGAAGAAGGCCUUCGGGUUGUAAAGCCCUUUUGUUGGGAAAGAAAAGCAGCAGGUUAAUACCCCGCUGUUCUGACGGUACCCAAAGAAUAAGCACCGGCUAACUUCGUG
RNAcentral lists this ribosomal RNA (492 nucleotides) under uncultured bacterium. RNAcentral describes it as "partial 16S ribosomal RNA". It matches the Rfam family "Bacterial small subunit ribosomal RNA", at positions 29 to 507 of the family's 1533-position model. The record is from RNAcentral.